This 29-nucleotide non-coding RNA is filed under the name Mus musculus (house mouse). The record is from RNAcentral. Lineage: Eukaryota; Metazoa; Chordata; Mammalia; Rodentia; Muridae.
UGAACAUUUCUGAUGACUUACUAUUUACC